Molecule: ribosomal RNA, 115 nt
Organism: Pogona vitticeps (central bearded dragon)
Lineage: Eukaryota; Metazoa; Chordata; Lepidosauria; Squamata; Agamidae
Source: Ensembl
UCUGAAGGUGCUACCCUUAGCAUAUUUAUCCCAUUUGACUUUGGAAACUAUGCAGGGUCAGACCGGGUUAGCACUUGCAUGGGACACCACCAAGGAACUGCAGUGAUCUCCAGAU